RNAcentral lists this long non-coding RNA (477 nucleotides) under Equus caballus (horse). RNAcentral's name for it is "lncRNA (ENSECAG00000058887.1)". The record is from RNAcentral. Lineage: Eukaryota; Metazoa; Chordata; Mammalia; Perissodactyla; Equidae.
AAAAGCAGGGGAAGAAAACAGGCUGCAAUGUGGGGAAGGAUCGGGAGACUGCCUGUCCUACUCCUCUCCAGCCUGAAGGGACCACAACCAGCAGCCCAGGUGCCCCUGGUACCAAGGAAGAGACUGCCCUGCGGCUGAAGGUUUUUCCAGAUCACCCGGGCCAUGAGGGCAGGGCAGGGAGAGCUUCCAGGGCCUCUGACUGGAUGGGGGUGCCCUUUGAAGUCCGUGGUCGCCGGGAGGACCUGGCCAGGCUUAGGCCGCAUACACAGGCUCACUGCGGGGCGGGGGAGGCCUGCGCCCCUGCUGUACUCGAGGUACAAAUGAAUGGAGCUCCUGGCCAGAAUUUUGACAGUUUCUUCUCUCAUGUGUUAGGAAAACAGAGAGCCAGCAAAGGAAAUCUCAAAAUUUUGACCUCUGAAGAUGCAAAACUGCCAAAUGAGUUUUAUGAUGCAAAUUUAAAACAACCUAUUAACGGUG